RNAcentral lists this ribosomal RNA (372 nucleotides) under uncultured bacterium. RNAcentral describes it as "bacterial SSU rRNA". It matches the Rfam family "Bacterial small subunit ribosomal RNA", at positions 524 to 898 of the family's 1533-position model. The record is from RNAcentral.
UACGGAGGGUGCAAGCGUUAUCCGGAUUCACUGGGUUUAAAGGGUGCGUAGGCGGGUAGGUAAGUCCGUGGUGAAAUCUCUGAGCUUAACUCAGAAACUGCCGUGGAUACUAUUUGCCUUGAAUAUUGUGGAGGUGAGCGGAAUAUGUCAUGUAGCGGUGAAAUGCUUAGAUAUGACAUAGAACACCAAUUGCGAAGGCAGCUCACUACACAAUGAUUGACGCUGAGGCACGAAAGCGUGGGGAUCAAACAGGAUUAGAUACCCUGGUAGUCCACGCCCUAAACGAUGAUUACUCGACAUCAGCGAUACACUGUUGGUGUCUGAGCGAAAGCAUUAAGUAAUCCACCUGGGAAGUACGUUCGCAAGAAUGAA